This 292-nucleotide ribosomal RNA is filed under the name uncultured bacterium. RNAcentral's name for it is "partial 16S ribosomal RNA". The record is from RNAcentral.
GGACUACUGGGGUAUCUAAUCCUGUUUGCUCCCCGCACUUUCGCGCCUCAGCGUCAGUCAUCGGCUCGAAGCCCGCCUUCGCCACCGGUGUUCUUCCUGAUAUCUACAGAUUUCACCCCUACACCAGGAAUUCCGGCUCCGCCUCCGUGACUCAAGCUCCACAGUUUCCAACGCAGUUCACGGGUUAAGCCCGUAGCUUUCACGUCAGACUUGCAGAGCCGCCUACGCGCCCUUUACGCCCAAUAAUUCCGAACAACGCUCGCCCCUUACGUGUUACCGCGGCUGCUGGCAC